Molecule: non-coding RNA, 456 nt
Organism: Prunus mume (Japanese apricot)
Lineage: Eukaryota; Viridiplantae; Streptophyta; Magnoliopsida; Rosales; Rosaceae
Source: RefSeq, a predicted model, not a curated record
CUCUGUCUCUCUCUGUGUCUCAAGCUCAACAGCCGCUCUCAGCCGAUAGGGUGUUCCUAGGCCGAAACCCGUCGCCCACCACUGUCAACAGCCACUCUCAAACCUGUCGGCCACCACUAUAACCAAUUUUGGAGGGAUUGUUGCUGAAGUGAAACUGUUUGGAGAUUUCUGUUUUAAGCUUGGAGCAUUUGGUUUUGCAGAGAUGGAGUCUAGCCACUCUAACACACCUAAUGCCUCUAAUCCCCAAACACAAACCGAUACACCCGAAACACAAUCUCCAACUCAAACACAAAAUCCCACAAGUGAGGGCCUUAUGGUGGGAGAUAGGAGGAAAGCCCCAAAGUCGAUUGUGUGGUUACAUUGCACAAAACAAAUAAAGAAGGAUGGUAAUGGGGUAGAGAAGGUUAUAGGGGUUUGCAAUUAUUGCAAAUUGGAGAUGCCGGCGGACCCUAGAAA